GUGAGUGUAGCUCAGGGGUAGAGCGCUGGACUGUGGCUCCAGAUGUCGAGGGUUCAAAUCCCUUCACUCACCCCA
RNAcentral lists this transfer RNA (75 nucleotides) under Deltaproteobacteria bacterium. RNAcentral's name for it is "tRNA-His". It matches the Rfam family "tRNA". From Rfam's summary of the family: Transfer RNA (tRNA) molecules are approximately 80 nucleotides in length. Lineage: Bacteria; Pseudomonadati; Myxococcota; Myxococcia. RNAcentral also lists the same sequence under 3 other names. The record is from RNAcentral.